This 253-nucleotide ribosomal RNA is filed under the name uncultured bacterium. RNAcentral describes it as "partial 16S ribosomal RNA". It matches the Rfam family "Bacterial small subunit ribosomal RNA", at positions 524 to 776 of the family's 1533-position model. The record is from RNAcentral.
UACAGAGGGUGCGAGCGUUAAUCGGAUUUAUUGGGCGUAAAGAGCGUGUAGGCGGCCAGACAGGUCAGCUGUGAAAACUCGAGGCUCAACCUCGAGACGUCGGUUGAAACCGUCUGGCUAGAGUCCGGAAGAGGAGAGUGGAAUUCCCGGUGUAGCGGUGAAAUGCGCAGAUAUCGGGAAGAACACCCGUGGCGAAGGCGGCUCUCUGGGAAGGUACUGACGCUGAGACGCGAAAGCGUGGGGAGCGAACAGG